AAGAUAUUAGUAAAUUAUUAUAUUGCCUUGUCAAGGCAAAGUUGUGGGUUAGACCCCCUGCAUAUCUUA
This 69-nucleotide transfer RNA is filed under the name Bombina microdeladigitora (Hubei firebelly toad). RNAcentral describes it as "tRNA-Asp". It matches the Rfam family "tRNA". From Rfam's summary of the family: Transfer RNA (tRNA) molecules are approximately 80 nucleotides in length. Their secondary structure includes four short double-helical elements and three loops (D, anti-codon, and T loops). Lineage: Eukaryota; Metazoa; Chordata; Amphibia; Anura; Bombinatoridae. The record is from RNAcentral.